UGGGGAAUAUUGCACAAUGGGCGCAAGCCUGAUGCAGCCAUGCCGCGUGUGUGAAGAAGGCCUUCGGGUUGUAAAGCACUUCCAGCGAGGAGGAAGGGUAGUGUGUUAAUAGCACAUUGCAUUGACGUUACUCGCAGAAGAAGCACCGGCUAACUCCGUGCCAGCAGCCGCGGUAAUACGGAGGGUGCAAGCGUUAAUCGGAAUUACUGGGCGUAAAGCGCACGCAGGCGGUUUGUUAAGUCAGAUGUGAAAUCCCCGCGCUUAACGUGGGAACUGCAUUUGAAACUGGCAAGCUAGAGUCUUGUAGAGGGGGGUAGAAUUCCAGGUGUAGCGGUGAAAUGCGUAGAGAUCUGGAGGAAUACCGGUGGCGAAGGCGGCCCCCUGGACAAAGACUGACGCUCAGGUGCGAAAGCGUGGGGAGCAAACA
This 427-nucleotide ribosomal RNA is filed under the name uncultured bacterium. Its description in RNAcentral is "partial 16S ribosomal RNA". It matches the Rfam family "Bacterial small subunit ribosomal RNA", at positions 355 to 774 of the family's 1533-position model. The record is from RNAcentral.